CAACCCUUAAGCCUAGCUUAGUGUUGGGAGCCUACCCGCCUUAGGGCCCGUAGCUCCUGAAAUACAACGGCGGAUCUGUGGCAUCCUCUGAGCGUAGUAAUUUUUUUCUCGCUUUUGUCAGGAGUUGCAGCGUCUGGCCGCUAAACCCCCCAAAUUUUAAUGG
This 163-nucleotide unclassified non-coding RNA is filed under the name uncultured Amphisphaeriaceae. RNAcentral describes it as "sequence contains ITS2". Lineage: Eukaryota; Fungi; Ascomycota; Sordariomycetes; Amphisphaeriales; Amphisphaeriaceae. The record is from RNAcentral.